This 1876-nucleotide ribosomal RNA is filed under the name Anabaena sp. CHAB TP201731.2. RNAcentral describes it as "bacterial SSU rRNA". The stretch from base 1 to 1483 matches the Rfam family "Bacterial small subunit ribosomal RNA". Lineage: Bacteria; Bacillati; Cyanobacteriota; Cyanophyceae; Nostocales; Nostocaceae. The record is from RNAcentral.
UAGAGUUUGAUCCUGGCUCAGGAUGAACGCUGGCGGUAUGCUUAACACAUGCAAGUCGAACGGAAUCCUUAGGGAUUUAGUGGCGGACGGGUGAGUAACGCGUGAGAAUCUGGCUUCAGGUCGGGGACAGCAGUUGGAAACGACUGCUAAUACCGGAUAUGCCGAGAGGUGAAAGAUUAAUUGCCUGGAGAUGAGCUCGCGUCUGAUUAGCUAGUUGGUGGGGUAAGAGCCUACCAAGGCGACGAUCAGUAGCUGGUCUGAGAGGAUGAUCAGCCACACUGGGACUGAGACACGGCCCAGACUCCUACGGGAGGCAGCAGUGGGGAAUUUUCCGCAAUGGGCGAAAGCCUGACGGAGCAAUACCGCGUGAGGGAGGAAGGCUCUUGGGUCGUAAACCUCUUUUCUCAGGGAAGAAAAAAAUGACGGUACCUGAGGAAUAAGCAUCGGCUAACUCCGUGCCAGCAGCCGCGGUAAUACGGAGGAUGCAAGCGUUAUCCGGAAUGAUUGGGCGUAAAGCGUCCGCAGGUGGCCAUGUAAGUCUGCUGUUAAAGAGUCAUGCUCAACAUGAUAAAAGCAGUGGAAACUACACGGCUAGAGUACGUUCGGGGCAGAGGGAAUUCCUGGUGUAGCGGUGAAAUGCGUAGAUAUCAGGAAGAACACCGGUGGCGAAAGCGCUCUGCUAGGCCGUAACUGACACUGAGGGACGAAAGCUAGGGGAGCGAAUGGGAUUAGAUACCCCAGUAGUCCUAGCCGUAAACGAUGGAUACUAGGCGUGGCUUGUAUCGACCCGAGCCGUGCCGUAGCUAACGCGUUAAGUAUCCCGCCUGGGGAGUACGCACGCAAGUGUGAAACUCAAAGGAAUUGACGGGGGCCCGCACAAGCGGUGGAGUAUGUGGUUUAAUUCGAUGCAACGCGAAGAACCUUACCAAGACUUGACAUGUCGCGAAUCUUUCUGAAAGGAGAGAGUGCCUUCGGGAGCGCGAACACAGGUGGUGCAUGGCUGUCGUCAGCUCGUGUCGUGAGAUGUUGGGUUAAGUCCCGCAACGAGCGCAACCCUCGUUUUUAGUUGCCAGCAUUAAGUUGGGCACUCUAGAGAGACUGCCGGUGACAAACCGGAGGAAGGUGAGGAUGACGUCAAGUCAGCAUGCCCCUUACGUCUUGGGCUACACACGUACUACAAUGCUACGGACAAAGGGCAGCUACACAGCGAUGUGAUGCUAAUCUCAUAAACCGUAGCUCAGUUCAGAUCGCAGGCUGCAACUCGCCUGCGUGAAGGAGGAAUCGCUAGUAAUUGCAGGUCAGCAUACUGCAGUGAAUUCGUUCCCGGGCCUUGUACACACCGCCCGUCACACCAUGGAAGUUGGUCACGCCCGAAGUCAUUACCCCAACCGAAAGGAGGGGGAUGCCUAAGGUAGGACUGGUGACUGGGGUGAAGUCGUAACAAGGUAGCCGUACCGGAAGGUGUGGCUGGAUCACCUCCUUUUUAGGGAGACCUAAUCCAUUGAGAAAUCGAACACAAUCAGUAAUUAGAUUCUUAAUUGGUCUAUCCUAGGUCGGUCGAGAUUGGUUGAAAACUUUCAAAGUAUUAUUAUUGGUUUGGUGAAACUAAAUUAAAUUGGAAAAGAGUCAGCAACUGAUGAAGAGUCAGACUGCUGGUUUAGAGCCAGUCAGAACCUUGAAAACUGCAUAGUAACGCGAAUUAGCAGGCAGACGAAACUGAGUGCUGAGGGAAGAAUACCGAGUAAUGAGUUUUUCACUUAUUGCAGAGUAGGAAAGAAUCAGAAAAGCAGAAAAGUUUGCAAGUCGAAUCAGAUGUAAUGAAGUGGUCAAGCUAAUAAGGGCUAAUGGUGGAUACCUAGGCACACAGAGGCGAAGA